Apaloderma vittatum (bar-tailed trogon) is the source of this 82-nucleotide non-coding RNA. The record is from Rfam. Lineage: Eukaryota; Metazoa; Chordata; Aves; Trogoniformes; Trogonidae.
GGCCAGUUAGCUCAGUGGUUUGAGCACGGUGCUGACAACAAUGACAACACCGAGAUUGUGGGUUUGAUUCCCGCUCGGUCCC